GGUGAAUGGAGGUAUGAAGGAGGAGAGGAGAGUGUGAAUGGAUGUAUGAAGGAGGAGAGGAGAGGGUGAAUGGAGGUAUGAAGCAGGAGAGGAGAGGGUGAAUGGAGGUAUGAAGGAGGAGAGGAGAGGGUGAAUGGAGGUAUGAAGGAGGAGAGGAGAGGGUGAAUGGAGGUAUGAAGGAGAAGAGGAGAGGAGAGGAGAGGAGAUGAGAGGGUGAAUGGAGGUAUGAAGGAGGAGAGGAGAGGAGAUGAGAGGGUGAAUGGAGGUAUGAAGGAGGAGAGGAGAGGAGAGGGUGAAUGGAGGUAUGAAGGAGGAGAGGAGAGGGUGAAUGGAGCUAUGAAGGAGGAGAUGAGAGGAGAGGGUGAAUGGAGGUAUGAAGGAGAAGAGGAGAGGGUGAAUGGAGGUAUGAAGGAGGAGAGGAGAGGAGAGGGUGAAUGGAGGUAUGAAGCAGG
Long non-coding RNA from Oncorhynchus tshawytscha (Chinook salmon), 452 nucleotides. The record is from Ensembl. Lineage: Eukaryota; Metazoa; Chordata; Actinopteri; Salmoniformes; Salmonidae.